AUCGCUUCUCAGCCUUUUGGCUAAGAUCAAGUGUAGGAAUUCUUUUAUUUUUUUAUUAAUUUUUUCUGAGAGAGAGAGUGUGCACACACG
This is a small nuclear RNA of 90 nucleotides. Its record names the gene U2. It matches the Rfam family "U2 spliceosomal RNA". Rfam says of the family: U2 is a small nuclear RNA (snRNA) component of the spliceosome (involved in pre-mRNA splicing). Complementary binding between U2 snRNA (in an area lying towards the 5' end but 3' to hairpin I) and the branchpoint sequence (BPS) of the intron results the bulging out of an unpaired adenosine, on the BPS, which initiates a nucleophilic attack at the intronic 5' splice site, thus starting the first of two transesterification reactions that mediate splicing. The record is from Ensembl.